CAAAUUCGUGCAUCUCUCUCACGUCUCUCUCUUCCUCUCCCAUGUCUCUCUUCCUUCACACAUGAAAAUCAGAUCAGAUCCGUGUCUCUCUCAAAUUGGAGCAAAGAACAUGGGGCAUGGAUCCCGUACCUCUCUCUCUCUCUCUCUCUCUCUCUCUCUCUCUCUCACGUGUCACUUCCUCCCCACAAGAAAAACAGAUCAAUAUCUCUUCCAAAUCGGAGCAAAAAACUUGGGGCAUGGAUCACGUGCGCCCACAGGCAAAGAAGUUGGAGCGUGAAUACCCCAAGCUCAAGGAGGUUAUCAUAUUAAAAUUUCCUCAUCUAGAUCAGGGAUUGCUGCAACACCCAAAUUAAUAGGUGAGGCUACUUUGGUCGGUCACCGGAUCGCUGGCGUCAGUGCAUCCAUGUUUGACAAAAGGAAACUGCAGAUGUGUCCAACCAUAGCCAUAGGUACAUACAAAGACCAGAAGUAUACAAAAGUUUUAUGUUAAACGAUGUCUGCAUGGUUAAGAAACUAAGCAUACGCCCAUGCAUGAUAGUUCAUAGGUAAGGCCAAUAGGCCAUAGUUGUUUAAAACAUACGAGUUCUCUAUUGUUGGUUCUUAAUUAUGACAGGAUCCGUACAUGCUACUGAUAAAUUGAAAAACAUGCCUCCUUUGAUCCUACCUCCUCAAUCCCCUACAAACACACACUUCAUACUGAUAUAUGCCACGGCAAACAAAAAUGAUGACUUAGACAGUGCGGCCAAGGACGA
Molecule: ribosomal RNA, 752 nt
Filed under: Triticum aestivum (bread wheat)
Lineage: Eukaryota; Viridiplantae; Streptophyta; Magnoliopsida; Poales; Poaceae
Description: partial small subunit ribosomal RNA
Source: RNAcentral